RNAcentral lists this long non-coding RNA (275 nucleotides) under Nicotiana benthamiana. RNAcentral describes it as "long non-coding RNA (NBEN_LNC005003)". Lineage: Eukaryota; Viridiplantae; Streptophyta; Magnoliopsida; Solanales; Solanaceae. The record is from RNAcentral.
GAACAUCCAAAUUAUCCAAAUAUGAAGGUGGCUCUGAUACCAAUUGUUAGAAUAAUGAUUCCGACUAAAAUACAAUAUCCUUCAUAUCGAAUAAUUUAGGACAACAACAACAACAACAACAACAACAUGAGCGGAAGCGUACCUGAAUCCAUUUGUGGAUAUUCUUAGUCCUCCUUAUGAAGAUUGUCCUAAGUGUUUGCAAGCUCCUUGAUCCUUACUUCAAGAUUGUCUUGAAGUAUUAUACAAGAAUAUAACACAAGAACCAAAAUUGGAGA